ACGGGAGGCAGCAGUAGGGAAUCUUCGGCAAUGGACGAAAGUCUGACCGAGCAACGCCGCGUGAGUGAAGAAGGUUUUCGGAUCGUAAAACUCUGUUGUUAGAGAAGAACAAGGAUGAGAGUAACUGUUCAUCCCUUGACGGUAUCUAACCAGAAAGCCACGGCUAACUACGUGCCAGCAGCCGCGGUAAUACGUAGGUGGCAAGCGUUGUCCGGAUUUAUUGGGCGUAAAGCGAGCGCAGGCGGUUUCUUAAGUCUGAUGUGAAAGCCCCCGGCUCAACCGGGGAGGGUCAUUGGAAACUGGGAGACUUGAGUGCAGAAGAGGAGAGUGGAAUUCCAUGUGUAGCGGUGAAAUGCGUAGAUAUAUGGAGGAACACCAGUGGCGAAGGCGGCUCUCUGGUCUGUAACUGACGCUGAGGCUCGAAAGCGUGGGGAGCAAACAGGAUUAGAUACCCUGGUAGUCCACGCCGUAAACGAUGAGUGCUAAGUGUUGGAGGGUUUCCGCCCUUCAGUGCUGCAGCUAACGCAUUAAGCACUCCGCCUGGGGAGUACGACCGCAAGGUUGAAACUCAAAGGAAUUGACGGGGGCCC
RNAcentral lists this ribosomal RNA (590 nucleotides) under Enterococcus sp. B05_34. RNAcentral's name for it is "bacterial SSU rRNA". It matches the Rfam family "Bacterial small subunit ribosomal RNA", at positions 341 to 922 of the family's 1533-position model. The record is from RNAcentral. Lineage: Bacteria; Bacillati; Bacillota; Bacilli; Lactobacillales; Enterococcaceae.